UAGUUUCUUCUCCUUAUAUUCUGCAGAC
RNAcentral lists this non-coding RNA (28 nucleotides) under Mus musculus (house mouse). Lineage: Eukaryota; Metazoa; Chordata; Mammalia; Rodentia; Muridae. The record is from RNAcentral.